This 498-nucleotide ribosomal RNA is filed under the name uncultured Glomeromycotina. Its description in RNAcentral is "partial small subunit ribosomal RNA". It matches the Rfam family "Eukaryotic small subunit ribosomal RNA", at positions 591 to 1091 of the family's 1831-position model. Lineage: Eukaryota; Fungi; Glomeromycota. The record is from RNAcentral.
CCAAUAGCGUAUAUUAAAGUUGUUGCAGUUAAAAAGCUCGUAGUUGAAUUUCGGGAUCAAUAUGUUGGUCGUGCCUUGGUACGUACUGGCAUUAUUGGUUUCUACCUUCUGAAGAACCUCGAUGUCAUUAAUUUGGUGUCUUGGGGAAUCAGGACUGUUACUUUGAAAAAAUUAGAGUGUUUAAAGCAAGCUCACGCUUGAAUACAUUAGCAUGGAAUAAUGAAAUAGGACGUUUGAUUCUAUUUUGUUGGUUUCUAGGAUCGACGUAAUGAUUAAUAGGGAUAGUUGGGGGCAUUAGUAUUCAAUUGUCAGAGGUGAAAUUCUUGGAUUUAUUGAAGACUAACUACUGCGAAAGCAUUUGCCAAGGAUGUUUUCAUUAAUCAAGAACGAAAGUUAGGGGAUCGAAGACGAUCAGAUACCGUCGUAGUCUUAACCAUAAACUAUGCCGACUAGGGAUCGGAUGAUGUUAAUUUUUUAAUGACUCAUUCGGCGCCUUAC